AACGAACGCUGGCGGCGUGCCUAACACAUGCAAGUCGAGCGAGAAAAGGGGGAGCAAUCCCCUGAGUACAGCGGCGCACGGGUGAGUAACACGUAGGUGAUCUCCCCUCGAGCCCGGAAUAACCUACCGAAAGGUGGGCUAAUACCGGAUAUGACCACGGGAGUUUUGGUCUCCUGCGGUGAAAGAUGGCCUCUACCUGUAAGCUAUCACUCAAGGAUGAGCCUGCGUGCCAUUAGCUAGUUGGUUGAGGUAACGGCUCACCAAGGCUAUGAUGGCUAGCUGGUCUGAGAGGAUGGCCAGCCACACUGGGACUGAAACACGGCCCAGACUCCUACGGGAGGCAGCAGUGGGGGAUAUUGCGCAAUGGGC
This 369-nucleotide ribosomal RNA is filed under the name uncultured bacterium. RNAcentral describes it as "bacterial SSU rRNA". It matches the Rfam family "Bacterial small subunit ribosomal RNA", at positions 29 to 376 of the family's 1533-position model. The record is from RNAcentral.